Molecule: ribosomal RNA, 222 nt
Filed under: uncultured bacterium
Lineage: Bacteria
Description: partial 16S ribosomal RNA
Rfam family: Bacterial small subunit ribosomal RNA
Source: RNAcentral
UAAACGUCUCAGUUCGGAUUGUAGUCUGCAACUCGACUACAUGAAGCUGGAAUCGCUAGUAAUCGCGAAUCAGCAUGUCGCGGUGAAUACGUUCCCGGGUCUUGUACACACCGCCCGUCACACCAUGGGAGUCGGAAAUGCCCGAAGUCAGUGACCCAACCGCAAGGAGGGAGCUGCCGAAGGCAGGUCCCGGUAACUGGGGUGAAGUCGUAACAAGGUAAC